This 253-nucleotide ribosomal RNA is filed under the name uncultured bacterium. RNAcentral describes it as "partial 16S ribosomal RNA". It matches the Rfam family "Bacterial small subunit ribosomal RNA", at positions 524 to 776 of the family's 1533-position model. The record is from RNAcentral. RNAcentral also lists the same sequence under 1 other name.
GACAGAGGGUGCAAACGUUGUUCGGAAUUACUGGGCGUAAAGCGUGUGUAGGCGGUCUCAUAAGUCGGGUGUGAAAGCCCCGGGCUCAACCCGGGAAGUGCACUCGAAACUGCGAGGCUAGAGUACUGGAGAGGUUGGUGGAAUUCUCGGUGUAGAGGUGAAAUUCGUAGAUAUCGAGAGGAACACCGGUGGCGAAGGCGGCCAACUGGACAGAUACUGACGCUGAGACACGAAAGCGUGGGGAGCAAACAGG